AAAUUGAAGAGUUUGAUCAUGGCUCAGAUUGAACGCUGGCGGCAGGCCUAACACAUGCAAGUCGAACGGUAACAGGAAGCAGCUUGCUGCUUCGCUGACGAGUGGCGGACGGGUGAGUAAUGUCUGGGAAACUGCCUGAUGGAGGGGGAUAACUACUGGAAACGGUAGCUAAUACCGCAUAACGUCGCAAGACCAAAGAGGGGGACUUUCGGGCCUCUUGCCAUCGGAUGUGCCCAGAUGGGAUUAGCUAGUAGGUGGGGUAACGGCUCACCUAGGCGACGAUCCCUAGCUGGUCUGAGAGGAUGACCAGCCACACUGGAACUGAGACACGGUC
This 334-nucleotide ribosomal RNA is filed under the name Escherichia coli. Its description in RNAcentral is "bacterial SSU rRNA". It matches the Rfam family "Bacterial small subunit ribosomal RNA", at positions 1 to 331 of the family's 1533-position model. The record is from RNAcentral. Lineage: Bacteria; Pseudomonadati; Pseudomonadota; Gammaproteobacteria; Enterobacterales; Enterobacteriaceae.